Molecule: ribosomal RNA, 253 nt
Filed under: uncultured bacterium
Lineage: Bacteria
Description: partial 16S ribosomal RNA
Rfam family: Bacterial small subunit ribosomal RNA
Source: RNAcentral
UACGGGGGGUGCAACCGUUGCUCGGAAUUAUUGGGCGUAAAGCGCACGUAGGCGGUCCUCUAAGUCGGGUGUGAAAGCCCCAGGCUUAACCUGGGAAGUGCACUCGAAACUGGAGGGCUUGAGUACGGAAGAGGGUCUCGGAAUUCCCGGUGUAGAGGUGAAAUUCGUAGAUAUCGGGAGGAACACCAGUGGCGAAGGCGGAGACCUGGGCCGAUACUGACGCUGAGGUGCGAAAGCGUGGGGAGCAAACAGG